This 254-nucleotide ribosomal RNA is filed under the name uncultured bacterium. RNAcentral describes it as "partial 16S ribosomal RNA". It matches the Rfam family "Bacterial small subunit ribosomal RNA", at positions 524 to 776 of the family's 1533-position model. The record is from RNAcentral.
UACGUAGGAUCCAAGCGUUAUCCGGAAUCACUGGGCGUAAAGCGUGCGUAGGCGGCGCGUUAAGUGCAACGCGAAAUCCGGUGGCUCAACCAUCUGGACUGUGUUGCAUACUGGCGUGCUUGAGGAUACGAGAGGUACAUGGAAUUAGCGGUGUAGCAGUGAAAUGCGUAGAUAUCGCUAGGAACACCAAUGGCGAAGGCAGUGUACUGGCGUAUUCCUGACGCUGAGGUACGAAAGCGUGGGGAGCGAACAGG